RNAcentral lists this ribosomal RNA (468 nucleotides) under uncultured bacterium. Its description in RNAcentral is "partial 16S ribosomal RNA". It matches the Rfam family "Bacterial small subunit ribosomal RNA", at positions 28 to 507 of the family's 1533-position model. The record is from RNAcentral.
GACGAACGCUGGCGGCGUGCUUAACACAUGCAAGUCGAACGGAAAGGCCCUGCGUUUGUUGGGUUCUCGAGUGGCGAACGGGUGAGUAACACGUGAGUAACCUGCCCUUGACUUUGGGAUAACUUCAGGAAACUGGGGCUAAUACCGGAUAGGAUCUCCUGCUGCAUGGUGGGGGUUGGAAAGUUUCGGCGGUUGGGGCUGUACUCGCGGCUUAUCAGCUUGUUGGUGGGGUAGUGGCUUACCAAGGCUUUGACGGGUAGCCGGCCUGAGAGGGUGACCGGCCACCUUGGGCCUGCGAUACGCCCCAGACUCCUACCGGAGGCAGCAGUCGGGAAUAUUGCACAAUGGGCGGACGCCUGAUGCAGCAACCCCGCGUGCGGGAUGCCGGCCUUCGGGUUGUAAACCGCUUUCGCCUGUGCCGAAGCCUGCGUGACGGUAAUGGGUCAAGAAGCACCGGCUAACUACGUG